This 500-nucleotide ribosomal RNA is filed under the name uncultured bacterium. Its description in RNAcentral is "partial 16S ribosomal RNA". It matches the Rfam family "Bacterial small subunit ribosomal RNA", at positions 28 to 523 of the family's 1533-position model. The record is from RNAcentral.
GUUGAACGCUGGCGGCAUGCCUUACACAUGCAAGUCGAACGGCAGCGCGGGAGCAACCCUGGCGGCGAGUGGCGAACGGGUGAGUAAUAUAUCGGAACGUGCCCUAGAGUGGGGGAUAACUAGUCGAAAGAUUAGCUAAUACCGCAUACGAUCUACGGAUGAAAGUGGGGGAUCGCAAGACCUCAUGCUCGUGGAGCGGCCGAUAUCUGAUUAGCUAGUUGGUAGGGUAAAAGCCUACCAAGGCCACGAUCAGUAACUGGUCUGAGAGGACGACCAGCCACACUAGGACUGAGACACGGCCCAGACUCCUACGGGAGGCAGCAGUGGGGAAUUUUGGACAAUGGGGGAAACCCUGAUCCAGCAAUGCCGCGUGUGUGAAGAAGGCCUUCGGGUUGUAAAGCACUUUUGUCCGGAACGAAACGGGCCGAGCUAAUAUCUUGGCCUAAUGACGGUACCGGAAGAAUAAGCACCGGCUAACUACGUGCCAGCCGCCGCAGUAA